GCCUGGAAAGACAGGCACGUUAAACUAACUGUAGAGGUCCAAAGUCCUCGGCUGCAAACGCAGAAUAGUGAUGGGCGU
This 78-nucleotide non-coding RNA is filed under the name unclassified sequences. The record is from RNAcentral.